Acanthosepion pharaonis is the source of this 114-nucleotide non-coding RNA. The record is from the annotation of a GenBank genome assembly. Lineage: Eukaryota; Metazoa; Mollusca; Cephalopoda; Sepiida; Sepiidae.
UUACGACCACAUCACGUUGAAACACCGAUUCCCGUACGAUCACCGAAGUUAAGCAACGUUGAGCUUGGUCUGUACAUAGAUAGGUGACCGCUUCGGAAUACCAUAUGCUGUAAG